AGGCGACGCAGUCGGCCCAGGCGCGGGGCCGCUCGGCCACCAGGCUGCGGUGCAGCGCCUCGAGCACCUCCAGCGGCUGCGUCCCCGCCAGCCGCAGCGUCCGCUCCACAAAGCGCCCGUCCCUGCGCCGGGGGGGGGGGCACCGGCACGUUUGCACCCCAACGCGCUCGCGCCGCCGCGAGGUUGCAGCGCGCAACCGCGUUUGCAUGGCUGCGAGGUUGCAUCGUGCAUGCAAAGCGCGUUUGCAUGGCUGCGAGGUUGCAUCGUGUGUGCAACUGCAUUUGCAUGGCUGCAAGGUUGCAUCGUGCAUGCAACUGCGUUUGCAUUGCGGCGAGGUUGCAGCGUGCAUGCAAAGCGCGUCUGCAUGGCUGCAAGGUUGCAGGGUGCAAGCGAUUUUGCAUUGCUGCAAGGGUGCAUCGUGCAUGCAACUGCUUUUGCAUUGAUGCAAGGUUGCAUUGUGCAUGCAAAGCGCGUUUGCAUGGCUGCAAGGUUGCAUCUUGCAUGCAAAGCGCGUUUGCAUUGCUGCGAGGUUGCAUCGUGCGUGCAACUGCACGUUUGCAUGGCUGCAAGGUUGCAUCGUGUGUGCAACUGCUUUUGCAUUGCUGCGAGGUCGCAUCGUGCAUGCAAAGCGCAUUUGUAUGGCUGCAAGGUUGCAUCGUGCGUGCAACCGCUUUUGCACUGCUGUGAGGUUGCACCGUGCAACUGCUUUUGCAUUGAUGCAAGGUUGCAUUGUGCAUGCAAAGCGCGUUUGCAUGGCUGCGAGGUUGCAUCGUGUGUGCAACUGCUUUUGCGUUGCUGCCAGGUUGCAUCGUGCAUGCAAAGCGCGUUUGCAUGGCUGCAAGGUUGCAUCGUGUGUGCAACUGCUUUUGCGUUGCUGCGAGGUUGCAUCGUGCGUGCAAAGCGCGUUUGCAUGGCUGCGAGGUUGCAGGGUGCAAGCGAUUUUGCAUUGCUGCAAGGUUGCAUCGUGCAUAUAAGUACGUUUGCGUUGCUGCAAGGUUGCACCGUGCAACUGCUUUUGCGUUGCUGCAAGGUUGCACCGUGCAACUGCUUUUGCGUUGCUGCGAGGUUGCAACAUGCGUGCAAAGCGCGUUUGCAUAGCUGCAAGGUUGCAUCGUGCGUGCAAAGCACGUUUGCAUGGCUGCAAGGUUGCAUUGUGCAUGCGAGUGUGUUUGCAUUGCUGAGGUUGCAGUGCGUGUGCAAGUGCGUUUGCGUUGCUGCAANGCGCAACCGUGUUUGCAUGGCUGCGAGGUUGCAUCUUGCAUGCAACUGCUUUUGCAUGGCUGCAAGGUUGCAUCGUGCGUGCAAAGCGUGUUUGCAUUGCUGCGAGGUUGCAUCUUGCAUGCAACUGCUUUUGCAUGGCUGCAAGGUUGCAUCGUGCGUGCAAAGCGUGUUUGCAUUGCUGCAAGGUUGCAUCUUGCAUGCAACUGCUUUUGCAUGGCUGCGAGGUUGCAGGGUGCGAGUGUGUUUGCGUUGCUGCAAGGCUGCAUCGUGCAUGCAAGCGUGUUUGCAUUGCUGCGAGAUUGCAUCGUGCAUGCGAGUGUGUUUGCGUUGCUGAGGUUGCAGUGCGUGUGCAAGUGCGUUUGCGUUGCUGCAAGGUUGCACCGUGCAUAUAAGUGUGUUUGCAUUGCUGCAAUGUUGCACCGUGUGUGCGAGCGUGUUUGCGUUGCUGUGAGGCUGCAUCGUGCGUGCAAGUGCGUUUGCAUUGCUGCAAGGUUGCAAUCUGCAGGCAAACGCGUUUGCAUUGCUGCAAGGCUGCAUUGUGCAUGCGAACGCAUCUGCAUCACUGCAAGGUCGCACCAGGCGUGCAAGUGCGUUUGCAUUGCUGUGAGGUGGCACCGUGCAUGCAAAUGUUUUUGCGUAGCUGCAAAGUUGCGCCAUGCACGCGACUGCUUUUGCAUUGCUGCAGGGUUGCACCGCGCGUGCAAAUGUCUUUGCAUCGCUGCAGGCUCGCGUCGUGUGGGCAAGCGCGUCUGCAUCGCUGCAAGGCUGCAAGCUGCAUGCAAACACUUUUGCAUCGCUGCAAGGUUGCACCGUGCGGGCAAACACUUUUGCAUCGCUGCAAGGUUGCAAACUGCAUGCAAACACUUUUGCAUCGCUGCAAGGUUGCACCGUGCGUGCAAAUGUGCCUGCAUCGCUGCAAGGUCGCACCGUGCAUGCAACCGCGUCUGCACCGCUGCAAGGUCGCACCGUGCACGCAAGUGUUUCUGCACCGCUGCGAGGUUGCAUCGCGCG
RNAcentral lists this long non-coding RNA (2232 nucleotides) under Apteryx haastii (Great spotted kiwi). RNAcentral's name for it is "lncRNA (ENSAHAG00000006901.1)". Lineage: Eukaryota; Metazoa; Chordata; Aves; Apterygiformes; Apterygidae. The record is from RNAcentral.